UCUUAUCUUAGCCAUGAAGAUGACUCAAGGCAAUUUUGAGGUGAUGAAGGCAAACCAAGAAGUCUCAAGCGAACGUCAUGAAGCCUCCAUCAAAAAUCUCGAAAAUCAAAUUGGUCAACUAGCAAGGCAAGUCUCUUCUCUACAAACUCAAAGUGGUUUUUAUGGAAACACCACGGAUCCUCGUAAUGAAAAUUGUAAUUCCAUUAAU
Molecule: long non-coding RNA, 208 nt
Filed under: Trifolium pratense (red clover)
Lineage: Eukaryota; Viridiplantae; Streptophyta; Magnoliopsida; Fabales; Fabaceae
Description: long non-coding RNA (TPRA_LNC009612)
Source: RNAcentral